GACGAACGCUGGCGGCGUGCUUAACACAUGCAAGUCGAACGGAAAGGCCCUGCUUUUGUGGGGUGCUCGAGUGGCGAACGGGUGAGUAACACGUGAGUAACCUGCCCUUGACUUUGGGAUAACUUCAGGAAACUGGGGCUAAUACCGGAUAGGAGCUCCUGCUGCAUGGUGGGGGUUGGAAAGUUUCGGCGGUUGGGGCUGGACUCGCGGCUUAUCAGCUUGUUGGUGGGGUAGUGGCUUACCAAGGCUUUGACGGGUAGCCGGCCUGAGAGGGUGACCGGCCACAUUGGGACUGAGAUACGGCCCAGACUCCUACGGGGGGCAGCAGUGGGGAGUAUUCCACAAUGGGCGGACGCCUGAUGCAGCAACGCUGCGUGCGGGAUGCCGGCCUUCGGGUUGUAACCCGCUUUCGCCUGUGACGAAGCGUGAGUGACGGUAAUGGGUAAAGAAGCACCGGCUAACUACGUG
RNAcentral lists this ribosomal RNA (468 nucleotides) under uncultured bacterium. RNAcentral's name for it is "partial 16S ribosomal RNA". It matches the Rfam family "Bacterial small subunit ribosomal RNA", at positions 28 to 507 of the family's 1533-position model. The record is from RNAcentral.